AUUGAAUUUCGGGAGGAUUUUCAAACCACUACUGCCACCCCACCAAAGUUUCCUGGAGGAGGAGGAGGAGGAGGAAGAAGAAGAGAUAAUAAUACUAAGAAGAAGGAUGAA
RNAcentral lists this non-coding RNA (111 nucleotides) under Lotharella oceanica. The record is from RNAcentral. Lineage: Eukaryota; Cercozoa; Chlorarachniophyceae.